UACGAAGGGGGCAAGCGUUGUUCGGAAUCAUUGGGCGUAAAGCGCGUGUAGGCGGUCUAUUAAGUCGAGUGUGAAAUCCCUGGGCUCAACCGAGGAAGUGCAUUCGAAACUAAUAAACUAGAAGAUGGUAGAGGAUGGUGGAAUUCCAGGUGUAGAGGUGAAAUUCGUAGAUAUCUGGAGGAAUACCGGUGGCGAAGGCGGCCAUCUGGGCCAUUCUUGACGCUGAGACGCGAAAGCGUGGGUAGCAAACAGG
Molecule: ribosomal RNA, 253 nt
Filed under: uncultured bacterium
Lineage: Bacteria
Description: partial 16S ribosomal RNA
Rfam family: Bacterial small subunit ribosomal RNA
Source: RNAcentral